Nicotiana tabacum (common tobacco) is the source of this 2485-nucleotide long non-coding RNA. RefSeq lists it as uncharacterized. The record is from RefSeq and is a predicted model, not a curated record. Lineage: Eukaryota; Viridiplantae; Streptophyta; Magnoliopsida; Solanales; Solanaceae.
AUCUUUUGCCCAACAUCAGCCCACUCACGCCACUUUUCCCUCUUUUUUUGCCCAAACCCAUAAUUUUCCCACUUUUUUUUUUUUUUUAAUCAUAGGAAUUACAAAGCUAGGGUAUAAGUGAAAUUGAGCAGUUGAAACUCUGUGAAGCAUCAAGCCUUGUGUUCCUCUCUACAACCUAGGGUUUCAUUCUUCUUCUUCUCAAGUUUUGUAUUUUUGCUUCGGUGUCAAAUCGGUUUGCUUGUUAUUGCCCCUCCAUUUUUUCCUUCCUGAGCAGAGGGUCUACCGGAAACUGCCUAUCUAUCUUCUUAAAGGCAGGUAUAAGGUAUGCAUACACUUUACCCUCUUCAGGCUCUACUUGUGGGAUUACACUGGGUAUGUUGCUGAUGGUGUAUCAAUAAAAAUUAUUAUUCCUUAUGGAUGUCAUUGCCUUUAGAUUCCUCUCUUCUAAUAGAUAACAAUAAUACUUUCGUUAUAGUUGUAUAUUGACUAGAUUUUAGAUAUUUUUUAUGUUGCUACAUUUACUCUUACAAUAGUUUUCUGUAUUGUCUAGUUAUGAUCUUUUGCCAAGGGAUAGUGUAUAUAGAGAGUUUUCUCUGUUAGAAGUUAUAGAGAUGGAGUGUAUUGCCUUAAGAGAACAAAUAAAAGAUAGAGCAUUCUUUAGUUUCUAUACCAAGAUAAGAGCAAUGAUAGUGUUUGAUCAGCCUUCAUCAACAUCUUCAACUGAUCCAUAGAUUGAAUCAUUUAACAGGUUAGUAAUUGAAAAUCCUAUUUUACUCUAUGAUGAAAAUAUUACAACGCUCAUGUGAAUUUUUUCUUUAUGUCAUUAACAUUUAUGAAUAAAUAAAAACAUAGUUAAUGAAACAAGUGAAUUUAAGCAAGAAUGAAGUUUCAAAUAUUAUGUACAUGGUGCACUUGUGCUUGCGUACAUACCAGGAGAUAAAGGACUUUUGGAGAGAUUUUACAUUAGAUAUAUGCUGCUGUCUGCUAAAGUAAUGUGUCGCUGUCUGCUCCUUUUUUUUUAUCUGACGUUGCGCCUCUCUCUCUCUCUCUCCAAUGAUCUUAUCUCUAUUUCUUUCCUGUUACACUUAUUAUUAUCUCUCUUUCUACCUCACCAUUUUUAGUAGAAACUAGAAUACCCACAAAGCAGAACAAUCCUGUCAUAUCACUUAAGCUCUGAGCCUGCAAUUUUCUUGAAAUAACUAAAGGGUACUCUACUUUUCUUUGUUCUUUUCUAUAAUUUUCUGCUUUAGCUUCUAGCUUUAUUUCCAUUUGAAUUGUUGCCUUCUUUUUAUUUCUCUCUGUUUGUUUCUUGAUGAUAAAAUCACGAGCUUUGUUGGUUAGUAUGUUGUUGUUAUAAUUAGUGUUAUUAUGGUUACUAGUAAAAUGCUACAACUAUUAUAACUAUUAUUGUUAUGAUUAUGAUUUUUUAGUUAUUAUUUUCUCUUUGUAAAAAUUGGAGCUUUUGGUUUCUUUUCUUGAUCUACUAUGAGUAGCUUCAAAUUGCUCUUCUGGUAAUUUCUUUAUCUCUUUGCAUGUUACUGCUAGUAAUCUUUGUAAUCAAAUGACAAUUAACCUCUUCAUGGCCUUGAUACAAUCUUCGGCAUUUAAAAUGUCAUAUAUAUUUCAUACCUUGGACAAGAGUUUAAAAGAUUUUAAGCUAUUAUUGAGACCUUCUUCCAUAGUUGAGAAGACAUUAGUUGGAAAGAAAUGGAGAAUCUGCUAUUCUAUCUAAUAUCUCCACACUUUUAAAGAAUAUGGAUUCAAGACUUGAAACUUAGAAUGCUAUACGGAGUCCUCCAGUCGUAUAAUCAUAAAUUAAAAAAUUACGCACUGUGGUGAAAGACAUGUUACACUAGCCAUCUUGCAUACAGACUUAAGGUUUUCUUUUCUUAAAUGUUUGGUCAUUGUUCUCCCUUUAAUAAGUACUAGUUCAUUUUUUUGUAAGCUGGUGGCAGAUUGCCAAUUGGUAUCUAGGAACAUUGGUUAAGAUUCAUGACGUUUGUUUUGGUUUUGUUUUGGGAAAAAUUUUGAAAAGGUGAAAAAGUAUAUUUUGGGUCCAAUAAUGAUUAGGUAAUUUGGUAUAAGUUAGUCUGGUACUUGGCUAGAAUUUAAUUGAACUUAUCACUUCUUUGGCUAGUCAACUUACUUCUCAUGAAUAUGGUUAUCUAUCUGUGCAUUCGAUAAUUUAAGGUAUUAUCUGUUCAUUUUCCCUUUAAAGUGUUUAUUUUCUUCUUUAGUUAUUUAUUCUUUGAUACUAAACUCGCAUAAAUUUGUUAUUUUAACAGAUCAAAAUUUGAAAUCCGAAGAACCUAUAUUUGAAGAAAGUGUAGAGCAAGUUGAAGUUCAAGAGGUUUUUGGUUCGUCAUCGAUGGUUUAAAGACACUGUCUUAUGUACAUAUAUAUGCUGCAAUUUUAUUUUUAUUCUUUUUAGGAAUUAUUUAAAAUGAUGCUUAACUCACCUCACUUUAUGCUUCUAGUUGUCUCC